GGUUGAAUAUAUUUGUAACAAGUUCGGAGCACAUGACAUGUAUGAUCCAACUUGAGGGGGAGUGUUGAGCUAUCCCUUAUCUCCUUAAAUUAUCUGUUAUGCUUAUGUGGUAUAAUAGGAAUACAAUUCCUAAGUCUAAUAGGAGUAUACUACCAUGUAUAUAUAUAUCUGUAGAGGUUGAAUGAAAUACACAGAUUUUUAACCCUCAAAAUCAUAGUCUUUUUUCUUCUUUCUAAAACUCUUUCAAGAAAAAAGUGGAAUAAAGAACGGAACAAGGACCAAUCCUUGGAAAAG
RNAcentral lists this unclassified non-coding RNA (294 nucleotides) under Hevea brasiliensis (rubber tree). The record is from RNAcentral. Lineage: Eukaryota; Viridiplantae; Streptophyta; Magnoliopsida; Malpighiales; Euphorbiaceae.